GCGCACGGUGGCUUAGUGGUUAGCACGUUCGCCUCACACCUCCAGGGAACAAGGUGAUUCCAGGGUCCGGGGUUCGAUUCCCGCCGGGGCC
This is a non-coding RNA of Ameiurus melas (black bullhead), 91 nucleotides long. The record is from the annotation of a GenBank genome assembly. NCBI's taxonomy places the organism in Eukaryota, Metazoa, Chordata, Actinopteri, Siluriformes, Ictaluridae.